This 122-nucleotide long non-coding RNA is filed under the name Dermacentor andersoni. Its description in RNAcentral is "uncharacterized LOC126537824". The record is from RNAcentral. Lineage: Eukaryota; Metazoa; Arthropoda; Arachnida; Ixodida; Ixodidae.
AAGUUGUUGGGUAGUUCACAACAAAAAAGUCGUUGACUAAAUUCUUUGACAUAUUGUUGAAUAUUAUUGAGUAUUAUUGAGCCAUUGUUGAGUAGUUUCCAACAAAAAAGUCGUUGACUAAA